RNAcentral lists this ribosomal RNA (468 nucleotides) under uncultured bacterium. RNAcentral's name for it is "partial 16S ribosomal RNA". It matches the Rfam family "Bacterial small subunit ribosomal RNA", at positions 28 to 507 of the family's 1533-position model. The record is from RNAcentral.
GACGAACGCUGGCGGCGUGCUUAACACAUGCAAGUCGAACGGAAAGGCCCUGCUUUUGUGGGGUGCUCGAGUGGCGAACGGGUGAGUAACACGUGAGUAACCUGCCCUUGACUUUGGGAUAACUUCAGGAAACUGGGGCUAAUACCGGAUAGGAGCUCCUGCUGCAAGGUGGGGGUUGGAAAGUUUCGGCGGUUGGGGAUGGACUCGCGGCUUAUCAGCUUGUUGGUGGGGUAGUGGCUUACCAAGGCUUUGACGGGUAGCCGGCCUGAGAGGGUGACCGGCCACAUUGGGACUGAGAUACGGCCCAGACUCCUACGGGAGGCAGCAGUGGGGAAUAUUGCACAAUGGGCGGAAGCCUGAUGCAGCAACGCCGCGUGCGGGAUGACGGCCUUCGGGUUGUAAACCGCUUUCGCCUGUGACGAAGCGUGAGUGACGGUAAUGGGUAAAGAAGCACCGGCUAACUACGUG